GAUGAACGCUGGCGGCGUGCCUAAUACAUGCAAGUCGAGCGAACGGACGAGAAGCUUGCUUCUCUUAUGUUAGCGGCGGACGGGUGAUUAACACGUGGAUAACCGACCUAUAAGACUGGGAUAACUUCGGGAAACCUGAUCUAAUACCGGAUAAUAUUGUGAACCGCAUGAUUCAAAAGUGAAAAACGGUCUUGCUGUCACUUGUAGAUGUAUCCGCGCUGCAUUAGCUAGUUGGUAAGGUAACGGCUUACCAAGGCAACGAUGCAUAGCCGACCUGAGAGGGUGAUCGGCCACACUGGAACUGAGACACGGUCCAGACUCCUACGGGAGGCAGCAGUAGGGAAUCUUCCGCAAUGGGCGAAAGCCUGACGGAGCAACGCCGCGUGAGUGAUGAAGGUCUUCGGAUCGUAAAACUCUGUUAUUAGGGAAGAACAUAUGUGUAAGUAACUGUGCACAUCUUGACGGUACCAAAUCAGAAAGCAACGGCUAACUACGUG
This 497-nucleotide ribosomal RNA is filed under the name uncultured bacterium. Its description in RNAcentral is "partial 16S ribosomal RNA". It matches the Rfam family "Bacterial small subunit ribosomal RNA", at positions 28 to 507 of the family's 1533-position model. The record is from RNAcentral.